CCCCCCCCGCCCCCCUCCUAGACGAUCCCUUGUUUCGGUGUCGUUGGUGUGGUUCCGGGACUUGAGCGCUUGGGUUUGACUCUUGGCUUCAUCGCUGACUAGCUGUGCGACCCUGGACGGGCUGAUCCACCUGUCUCUGCUUCCGUUUCCCUUGUGAAUGGGGUCAGCGAUCGAUCUUCCUCACCGAUGGGCAAGUACUACCGUGUUCGGCCUAAUGUGAACGCGUACUCGGCACCCAACACAUUUUCGCCGUUGGAUAUUCGAAGAUGGUUUGAGACGAGAAGAAGAGAAGGUCCCCUAGUGAGAAGUGUAGGACAGAGGGACUGUACCACCCGUGAGCCUUGCAGACAGUCCGGCCCGCUGCACGUUUGGGACGGAAAUCCGGUGGAGACGGCUCAGACGAGAAAGAUGCCCACUAAAAUGCUUAGGCUCCUCGUCUCCCAGAAACCAUUAAGGCGUCUCAUUUGCAGUUUGUCUACAAUCUUUUGGGCUCAUUGAAGCUUCCAGGUAGUGUCAUCUGUGAACGCUAAUAAAUCCCGUAUGUUUGUUUUCCUACCUUUUGGUCUUUUUCGAAACUGUGUUUAGUUAAAGUAUGCUAUUUAUACA
Herpailurus yagouaroundi (jaguarundi) is the source of this 606-nucleotide long non-coding RNA. RefSeq lists it as uncharacterized. The transcript has 2 exons. The record is from RefSeq and is a predicted model, not a curated record. Lineage: Eukaryota; Metazoa; Chordata; Mammalia; Carnivora; Felidae.